GAACGCACCUUGCGCUCUUUGGUAUUCCGAAGAGCAUGCCUGUUUGAGUGUCAUGAAAAUAUCAACCUUGACUUGGGUUUAGUGCUCUUGUCUUGGCUUGGAUUUGGCUGUUUGCCGCUCGAAAGAGUCGGCUCAGCUUAAAAGUAUUAGCUGGAUCUGUCUUUGAGACUUGGUUUGACUUGGCGUAAUAAGUUAUUUCGCUGAGGACAAUCUUCGGAUUGGCCGAGUUUCUGGGACGUUUGUCCGCUUUCUAAUACAAGUUCUAGCUUGCUAGACAUGACUUUUUUAUUAUCUGGCCUCAAAUCAGGUAGGACUACCCGCUGAACUUA
This 329-nucleotide unclassified non-coding RNA is filed under the name Solicoccozyma terricola. RNAcentral describes it as "sequence contains 5.8S rRNA gene". The stretch from base 1 to 53 matches the Rfam family "5.8S ribosomal RNA", at positions 102 to 154 of the family's 154-position model. Lineage: Eukaryota; Fungi; Basidiomycota; Tremellomycetes; Filobasidiales; Piskurozymaceae. The record is from RNAcentral.